Molecule: ribosomal RNA, 292 nt
Filed under: uncultured prokaryote
Description: partial 16S ribosomal RNA
Rfam family: Bacterial small subunit ribosomal RNA
Source: RNAcentral
GUGCCAGCAGCCGCGGUAAUACGUAGGGGGCAAGCGUUGUCCGGAAUUAUUGGGCGUAAAGCGCGCGCAGGCGGUCUUUUAAGUCUGAUGUGAAAUCUCGUGGCUCAACCGCGAGCGGUCAUUGGAAACUGGGAGACUUGAGUACAGAAGAGGAGAGUGGAAUUCCACGUGUAGCGGUGAAAUGCGUAGAGAUGUGGAGGAACACCAGUGGCGAAGGCGACUCUCUGGUCUGUCACUGACGCUGAGGUGCGAAAGCGUGGGUAGCGAACAGGAUUAGAAACCCUGGUAGUCC